ACGAACGCUGGCGGCGUGCUUAACACAUGCAAGUCGAACGAUGAACUGGAGCUUGCUCCAGGGAUUAGUGGCGAACGGGUGAGUAACACGUGAGUAACCUGCCCUUGACUCUGGGAUAAGCGUUGGAAACGACGUCUAAUACCGGAUAUGAACUGUGACGGCAUCGUCUGCAGUUGGAAAGAAUUUUGGUCAAGGAUGGACUCGCGGCCUAUCAGGUAGUUGGUGAGGUAAUGGCUCACCAAGCCGACGACGGGUAGCCGGCCUGAGAGGGUGACCGGCCACACUGGGACUGAGACACGGCCCAGACUCCUACGGGAGGCAGCAGUGGGGAAUAUUGCACAAUGGGCGAAAGCCUGAUGCAGCAACGCCGCGUGAGGGACGACGGCCUUCGGGUUGUAAACCUCUUUUAGUAGGGAAGAAGCGAAAGUGACGGUACCUGCAGAAAAAGCACCGGCUAACUACGUGCCAGCAGCCGCGGUAAUACGUAGGGUGCAAGCGUUGUCCGGAAUUAUUGGGCGUAAAGAGCUCGUAGGCGGUUUGUCGCGUCUGCUGUGAAAUCUGGGGGCUCAACCCCCAGCCUGCAGUGGGUACGGGCAGACUAGAGUGCGGUAGGGGAGAUUGGAAUUCCUGGUGUAGCGGUGGAAUGCGCAGAUAUCAGGAGGAACACCGAUGGCGAAGGCAGAUCUCUGGGCCGUAACUGACGCUGAGGAGCGAAAGCAUGGGGAGCGAACAGGAUUAGAUACCCUGGUAGUCCAUGCCGUAAACGUUGGGAACUAGAUGUAGGGGCCAUUCCACGGUUUCUGUGUCGCAGCUAACGCAUUAAGUUCCCCGCCUGGGGAGUACGGCCGCAAGGCUAAAACUCAAAGGAAUUGACGGGGGCCCGCACAAGCGGCGGAGCAUGCGGAUUAAUUCGAUGCAACGCGAAGAACCUUACCAAGGCUUGACAUAUACCGGAAACGUCCAGAGAUGGUCGCCCCGCAAGGUCGGUAUACAGGUGGUGCAUGGUUGUCGUCAGCUCGUGUCGUGAGAUGUUGGGUUAAGUCCCGCAACGAGCGCAACCCUCGUUCUAUGUUGCCAGCACGUUAUGGUGGGAACUCAUAGGAGACUGCCGGGGUCAACUCGGAGGAAGGUGGGGGAUGACGUCAAAUCAUCAUGCCCCUUAUGUCUUGGGCUUCACGCAUGCUACAAUGGCCGAUACAAAGGGCUGCGAUACCGUAAGGUGGAGCGAAUCCCAAAAAGUCGGUCUCAGUUCGGAAUUGAGGUCUGCAACUCGACCUCAUGAAGUCGGAGUCGCUAGUAAUCGCAGAUCAGCAACGCUGCGGUGAAUACGUUCCCGGGCCUUGUACACACCGCCCGUCAAGUCAUGAAAGUCGGUAACACCCGAA
RNAcentral lists this ribosomal RNA (1385 nucleotides) under Frondihabitans sp. J65. RNAcentral's name for it is "bacterial SSU rRNA". It matches the Rfam family "Bacterial small subunit ribosomal RNA". Lineage: Bacteria; Bacillati; Actinomycetota; Actinomycetes; Micrococcales; Microbacteriaceae. The record is from RNAcentral.